Molecule: ribosomal RNA, 695 nt
Filed under: Pseudomonadota bacterium
Lineage: Bacteria; Pseudomonadati; Pseudomonadota
Description: bacterial SSU rRNA
Rfam family: Bacterial small subunit ribosomal RNA
Source: RNAcentral
GGAAUGCUUUACACAUGCAAGUCGAACGGCAGCACGGAGAGCUUGCUCUCUGGUGGCGAGUGGCGAACGGGUGAGUAAUAUAUCGGAACGUAUCCAAUAAUGGGGGAUAACGAGUCGAAAGAUUCGCUAAUACCGCAUACGCCCUACGGGGGAAAGCAGGGGAUCGUAAGACCUUGCGUUAAUGGAGCGGCCGAUAUCUGAUUAGCUUGUUGGUGAGGUAAAGGCUCACCAAGGCGACGAUCAGUAGCUGGUUUGAGAGAACGACCAGCCACACUGGAACUGAGACACGGUCCAGACUCCUACGGGAGGCAGCAGUGGGGAAUUUUGGACAAUGGGGGCAACCCUGAUCCAGCCAUUCCGCGUGAGUGAAGAAGGCCUUCGGGUUGUAAAGCUCUUUCGCAAGGGAAGAAAACUUAUGAUCGAAUAAAUCAUGAGGUUGACGGUACCUUGAUAAGAAGCACCGGCUAACUACGUGCCAGCAGCCGCGGUAAUACGUAGGGUGCGAGCGUUAAUCGGAAUUACUGGGCGUAAAGCGUGCGCAGGCGGUUUUGUAAGUCGGAUGUGAAAUCCCCGGGCUCAACCUGGGAACUGCGUUCGAAACUGCAAGGCUAGAGUGUGUCAGAGGGGGGUAGAAUUCCACGUGUAGCAGUGAAAUGCGUAGAGAUGUGGAGGAAUACCAAUGGCGAAGGCAGCCC